AACGUAGGAGACAAACGUUAUCCGGAGUUACUGGGCGUAAAGGGCGUGUAGGUGGUUGCGUAAGUCUGGCGUGAAAUAUCUCGGCUUAACCGAGGCAGGUCGUCGGAUACUGCGUAACUGGAGGACGGUAGAGGCGUGUGGAAUUCCGGGUGUAGUGGUGGAAUGCGUAGAUAUCCGGAGGAACACCAGUGGCGAAAGCGGCUCUCUGGGGGCAACCUGACGCUGAGGCGCGAAAGCGUGGGGAGCGAACCGG
Molecule: ribosomal RNA, 253 nt
Filed under: uncultured bacterium
Lineage: Bacteria
Description: partial 16S ribosomal RNA
Rfam family: Bacterial small subunit ribosomal RNA
Source: RNAcentral